Psammomys obesus (fat sand rat) is the source of this 1682-nucleotide RNA transcript. It is a transcript of the gene named zinc finger protein 431-like, with no coding region annotated. The record is from RefSeq and is a predicted model, not a curated record. The transcript has 5 exons. Lineage: Eukaryota; Metazoa; Chordata; Mammalia; Rodentia; Muridae.
CAUCCGUGGGGCAGAACCGCAGGUAGGGGGACGACGGGAAGAGAAGAGGCACAGUCCUCCGUUCCACCAGGCCUGCGUGCAUCCUGGGGGAGAUGGGUGCACGCCGCCCUGGGUGAGGUUGUGCAUGACCUUGUAUAGGUUGUUCUCGCGCCCUCUGCUGGCCUGCGGGUGCACGAGCAGGGAGGAUCCUAUAAAUAUUUAGGGGGCUGGGGAUUGGGUAAGUAAGGUGUACUGGGCUUAUUGAUUAGGGUGCUGGGGACUCAGUAAAGAAGGAUCUGGCCACCUCUGCUGGUCUGAAGGCAUACACACGUGGGCAAAGAGAAAAAUAAAUGGAGGAGGAAGAAGAGGAAAGGAAGGAAAGAAAAAAAAAGAGAGAAAAGAAAAGAAGAAAGAAAGAAACUCCCAGCUAAUUGAAACUUGGGUACUAUUUGCUGUUGAACUGCUGAAUUUGAACCAAAAUACACAGGUAAACGUGUAGGUAUUCUGUAGUCAUAUAAGUAACUAAGUUUUUCCACAUAGUAAAUAAAAUAUUUUCAACCCGAAGGAAGGUGUAGAACAUGGCAAACCAACACAUUUUAUUUCGAGUCCGUAUUAAUUAGGAAUGACUUGAUGAACAUUUUCAGAGGAAGCUUCUUAUAUUCAAAGACUACAGCUAUCCCUGGCUUAAUGAACUUUUUCUAGUCUCCUAUACCCUCCCAGUACCCAGGAGAUAUUUAUUUCCAUAAAUUCUGGAUUGACAGUUUUGAUUGCUCACCUCCUGCUUUGCAAUGUGAAAAUCAUGACCCAUACCUAAUUUCUAAAAAGAGUAAACCAGAAGAAAAUGACGUGGUGACCGUUUCUGAGCCCAGCUAUUCCAUAUGGAAUGCAGUGUAUGCAGUGUCCCAUGCCCUCCAUAAAACGCUGUUGAACAAAAUUGAAAUGGGAUCUAAAGAAGACAGAAAGCCAGACUGUCUUCUUCCAUGCCAGUUUGUUUAUAUGGUGGAUUAUAUUGGUGGAUUUUCAUAUGUUGAACUAUCCUGGUAUUCCUGAGAUGAAGCCUAUUUGUUCAUCGUGUAUAUCUUUGAUGUGUUUCUAGAUUUGAAUGUGUUGACCUACAAUGAUGUGCAUGUGAACUUUACUCGAGAAGAGUGGGCUUUGCUGGAUCCUUCCCAGAGGAUUCUCGACAAAGAUGUGAAGCUGGAAACCUACAGGAAUCUCACUGCUAUAGUACUGUAUUUUAGGCUACAAUUGGAGAGAUCAUAAUAUUGAAGAGCAUUGUCAAAGUUCUAGAAGACAUGUUCCAGAGAGAUGUGAGAUCACUAUGAAAGAGCAUCAUAAGUGUCACACAUGCAGCUAAAGUAGGAAGCUUCGCAUUCACAUCCUUAACCUGCAGCAUGAAGCAGAGAGUGGGAACUACAGAUGGGUGUACUGUUGAAACUAUCAAGCCCACCCCAAGUAACGUACUUCCUCCAAGAGUGCUGCAUUUCCUAAACAUUCACAAAUGAUACCACCAACUGAGAAGGAGUCAUUUCUCUGACUUCAAACUGACAUGUUUAAUUUCUGUUACAUAAAGAGAUUUUUAUUGAAGAAAAAAAUAUGUAGAUAAGCCUGUAGUUGCCUCAAACCCUGAGUUACAGGAAUGCAUGCCUACACAAGUAAAACAUUCUUGACUAAACAUAUAUUUGUUUAAGAAUUUGUUUUAA